This is a long non-coding RNA of Astatotilapia calliptera (eastern happy), 549 nucleotides long. The record is from Ensembl. Lineage: Eukaryota; Metazoa; Chordata; Actinopteri; Cichliformes; Cichlidae.
AUGUAACCCACAUAAAAAGAGCUGCAUCUAUAACUAAGCCGAAAUUUUAAAUUCCAAUUGGGAGCGUGCCCGUGAAGGCAUCGCGACGCGUCAUGGCGCGUGUCUGCACAUGCCUGUUGUGACCAAUCACAUUCGCGAGGCACCGAUAUAUGCCUUCCGGGUUGUCGUCUCGAAAAGAUGCGGGGGAGAGGCGUUAGCGGAUGGAAGCAACAGUGCAGGCUAGUGGUGCCCUGGAGAGACCACAGCGACACCACUACUUUGGAUGGCGAGCUAGGCCCAACGAGCCAGAACCCCAGCUACAACUUCCUGCGGUCUGGUAGGAGGCUGCUGCGGCCUACACUCUCCCCUCUUGGUUUAGUCCCCUAAAUCUCACUUCUGAGAUUUCAGCUUUGGAAUCUUAGUGCUGAUCAUCCUACUUCAAAUUUCAACCUGUCUAGACUGUCAUACGCGUUGGACUUAUAUCACUCAUGAAAUAAACUUUAUGGACAUUGUUGCCAGAGGUUGGACGAGGUUCCUGCACUGCCGUGCAGCGGAUAUUUUACAAGCUUG